AUCUUUUCUUGGCUUUUUAGCUAAAAAAAAAAAAAAAAAUCUGUUCUUAUCAGUUUAAUAUCUGAUACGUCCCCUACCCGGGGACCAUAUAUUAAAUUGAUUUUUGGAGCAGGGAGAUGGAAUAGGGGCUUGCUCCGUCCACUCCACGCAUCGACCUGGUAUUGCAGUAUUUCUAGGAACGGUGCACCCCUG
Molecule: small nuclear RNA, 192 nt
Filed under: Maylandia zebra (zebra mbuna)
Lineage: Eukaryota; Metazoa; Chordata; Actinopteri; Cichliformes; Cichlidae
Description: U2 spliceosomal RNA (ENSMZEG00005000249.1)
Rfam family: U2 spliceosomal RNA
About the family: U2 is a small nuclear RNA (snRNA) component of the spliceosome (involved in pre-mRNA splicing). Complementary binding between U2 snRNA (in an area lying towards the 5' end but 3' to hairpin I) and the branchpoint sequence (BPS) of the intron results the bulging out of an unpaired adenosine, on the BPS, which initiates a nucleophilic attack at the intronic 5' splice site, thus starting the first of two transesterification reactions that mediate splicing.
Source: Rfam by way of RNAcentral